RNAcentral lists this ribosomal RNA (493 nucleotides) under uncultured bacterium. Its description in RNAcentral is "partial 16S ribosomal RNA". It matches the Rfam family "Bacterial small subunit ribosomal RNA", at positions 30 to 523 of the family's 1533-position model. The record is from RNAcentral.
AUUGAACGCUGGCGGCAUGCCUUACACAUGCAAGUCGAACGGUAACAGGUUAAGCUGACGAGUGGCGAACGGGUGAGUAAUAUAUCGGAACGUGCCCAGUAGUGGGGGAUAGCCCGGCGAAAGCCGGAUUAAUACCGCAUACGACCUAAGGGUGAAAGGGGGGGAUAGCAAGACCUCUCGCUAUUGGAGCGGCCGAUAUCAGAUUAGGUAGUUGGUGGGGUAAAGGCCCACCAAGCCUGCGAUCUGUGGUUGGUCUGAGAGGACGACCAGCCACACUGGGACUGAGACACGGCCCAGACUCCUACGGGAGGCAGCAGUGGGGAAUUUUGGACAAUGGGCGCAAGCCUGAUCCAGCAAUGCCGCGUGCAGGAAGAAGGCCUUCGGGUUGUAAACUGCUUUUGUCAGGGAAGAAAUCCUGUGGGUUAAUACCUCGUGGGGAUGACGGUACCUGAAGAAUAAGCACCGGCUAACUACGUGCCAGCCGCCGCCGUAA